RNAcentral lists this ribosomal RNA (445 nucleotides) under Trametes polyzona. RNAcentral's name for it is "eukaryotic LSU rRNA". The stretch from base 80 to 233 matches the Rfam family "5.8S ribosomal RNA". The record is from RNAcentral. Lineage: Eukaryota; Fungi; Basidiomycota; Agaricomycetes; Polyporales; Polyporaceae.
CGGGUUCGAGGCAUUCUGCCGCUAUGUCACUACAAACUCCGAAUAACAGAAUGUAAACGCGUCUAACGCAUCUUAAUACAACUUUCAGCAACGGAUCUCUUGGCUCUCGCAUCGAUGAAGAACGCAGCGAAAUGCGAUAAGUAAUGUGAAUUGCAGAAUUCAGUGAAUCAUCGAAUCUUUGAACGCACCUUGCGCUCCUUGGUAUUCCGAGGAGCAUGCCUGUUUGAGUGUCAUGGAAUUCUCAACCCAUAGAUCCUUGUGGUCUACGGGCUUGGAUUUGGAGGCUUGCCGGCCCUUACACGGGGUCGGCUCCUCUUGAAUGCAUUAGCUUGAUUCCGUGCGAAUCGGCUUUCAGUGUGAUAAUUGUCUACGCUGUGGCCGUGAAGCGUUUGGCGAGCUUCUAACCGUCCGUUAGGACAACUUCUUGACAUCUGACCUCAAAUCA